Molecule: ribosomal RNA, 372 nt
Filed under: uncultured organism
Description: bacterial SSU rRNA
Rfam family: Bacterial small subunit ribosomal RNA
Source: RNAcentral
CGGGGGGGGCAAGCGUUGUUCGGAAUUACUGGGCGUAAAGGGCUUGUAGGCGGCCAACUAAGUCAAACGUGAAAUCCCUCGGCUUAACCGGGGAACUGCGCUUGAUACUGGAUGGCUUGAGAUUGGGAGAGGGAUGCGGAAUUCCAGGUGUAGCGGUGAAAUGCGUAGAUAUCUGGAGGAACACCGGUGGCGAAGGCGGCAUCCUGGACCAACACUGACGCUGAGGAGCGAAAGCCAGGGGAGCAAACGGGAUUAGAUACCCCGGUAGUCCUGGCCCUAAACGAUGAAUGCUUGGUGUGGCGGGUAUCGAUCCCUGCCGUGCCGAAGCUAACGCAUUAAGCAUUCCGCCUGGGGAGUACGGUCGCAAGGCUG